This 428-nucleotide ribosomal RNA is filed under the name Gemmatimonadota bacterium. Its description in RNAcentral is "Gemmatimonadetes bacterium partial 16S ribosomal RNA". It matches the Rfam family "Bacterial small subunit ribosomal RNA", at positions 355 to 776 of the family's 1533-position model. The record is from RNAcentral. Lineage: Bacteria; Pseudomonadati; Gemmatimonadota.
UAGGGAAUCUUCGGCAAUGGACGAAAGUCUGACCGAGCAACGCCGCGUGAGUGAAGAAGGUUUUCGGAUCGUAAAACUCUGUUGUUAGAGAAGAACAAGGACGUUAGUAACUGAACGUCCCCUGACGGUAUCUAACCAGAAAGCCACGGCUAACUACGUGCCAGCAGCCGCGGUAAUACGUAGGUGGCAAGCGUUGUCCGGAUUUAUUGGGCGUAAAGCGAGCGCAGGCGGUUUCUUAAGUCUGAUGUGAAAGCCCCCGGCUCAACCGGGGAGGGUCAUUGGAAACUGGGAGACUUGAGUGCAGAGAGGAGAGUGGAAUUCCAUGUGUAGCGGUGAAAUGCGUAGAUAUAUGGAGGAACACCAGUGGCGAAGGCGGCUCUCUGGUCUGUAACUGACGCUGAGGCUCGAAAGCGUGGGGAGCAAACAGG